UCGCUGUCUCAAAGAUUAAGCCAUGCACGUCUAAGUACUCGCCUUGUCUAUAAAGUGAAACCGCGAAUGGCUCAUUAAAUCAGUUAUGGUUCACUAGACAGUACCUCAUCCUACUCGGAUAACUGUGGUAAUUCUAGAGCUAAUACAUGCAACUAGGCCCCGCCCGGCGUGCCGUCUCGCACGGUACGACGGAAAGGGCGCCAUUAUCAGCCCAAAACCGACCGGGUCGCCUCCCCCUCUCCUUUACGGUAAGGGGCGGCUCCCGUCCUUAUUCCCUUUGACGACUCUGGAUAACCUGUCAGCGGAUCGCUGGGUAAACGGGUGCCCGGGGGCCUUCAUCGGUCUCCGGGCCGCCCACAGCGACCAGUCUUUCAAAUGUCUGCCUUAUCAACUGUCGACGGUAGGUUAGACGCCUACCGUGGUCGUAACGGGUGACGGGGAAUCAGGGUUCGAUUCCGGAGAGGGAGCCUGAGAAACGGCUACCACAUCCAAGGAAGGCAGCAGGCACGCAAAUUACCCAAUCCCAGCACUGGGAGGUAGUGACGAAAAAUAACGAUACGGGACUCUUAACGAGGCCUCGUAAUCGGAAUGAGUCCGCUCUAAAUCCUUUAACGAGGAUCUAUCGGAGGGCAAGUCUGGUGCCAGCAGCCGCGGUAAUUCCAGCUCCGAUAGCGUAUAUUAAAGUUGCUGCGGUUAAAAAGCUCGUAGUUGGAUUUGGGUUUUCGGGCCGGCGGGCCGCCGCCUUCGAGCGGCGCGUUUCCCGCCGCGCCCCCGGAACCGCACGGUCGCAGAGGCCCCCGCGGUGCUCUUGAAUGAGUGUCCGCGGUCUCGGGUCGCCGAACGUUUACUUUGAAAAAAUUAGAGUGCUCCAGGCAGGCCGGUAAAGCGUUUUUAAACCCGCGCCUGAAUAGUCACGCAUGGAAUAAUGAAAGAGGACCGGCGGUCCUAUUUUGUUGGUUUUAAGGAUUUUCCGCCGUCAUGAUUAAGAGGGACGGCCGGGGGCAUUCGUACCGCGGCGCGAGAGGUGAAAUUCUAGGACCGUCGCGAGACGAACCGUUGCGAAAGCAUUUGCCAAGAAUGUUUUCCUUAAUCAAGAACGAAAGUCAGAGGUUCGAAGGCGAUCAGAUACCGCCCUAGUUCUGACCGUAAACGAUGCCACCUGACGAUCCGCCAGGGUUACUACCAUGACUCGGCGGGCAGUCCCCGGGAAACCCAAGCCUUCGGGUUCCGGGGGAAGUAUGGUUGCAAAGCUGAAACUUAAAGGAAUUGACGGAAGGGCACCACCAGGAGUGGAGCCUGCGGCUUAAUUUGACUCAACACGGGGAACCUCACCCGGCCCGGACACCGCGAGGAUUGACAGAUUGAGAGCUCUUUCUCGAUUCGGUGGGUGGUGGUGCAUGGCCGUUCUUAGUUGGUGGAGCGAUUUGUCUGGUUAAUUCCGAUAACGAACGAGACUCUAGCCGGUUAAGUAGCCCGAGCGGUUUUUGAUCUUUGCCGUCCAUCCUCGUCCCGACCUUCCGCGCUUCUUUUUUGCGCCGUCCUUUCCGUGCGGCCGUCGUCCCGUACGCUCUCCGCCUCGGCGGGGGGCCUCGGGCGCCGACGGUUUGCCGGAGGGGCGCUGCGGGAGGAGUACGUGGGUCGAUUUCGGGGUGGAAGCAUAACCGAAGGCCGCCGGCUUUUAAGGAAGCUUCUUAGAGGGACGAGCGGCGUUCAGCCGCCCGAGAUUGAGCGAUAACAGGUCUGUGAUGCCCUUAGAUGUCCGGGGCCGCACGCGCGCUACACUGAAGGGUUCAGCGUGCUAGUUUCUCCCGGGCCGUCAGGCUCGGGGAACCCGUUGAAACCCUUUCGUGCUAGGGACAGGGACUUGCAAUUGUGUCCCUCCAACGAGGAAUUCCCAGUAAGCGCGAGUCAUCAGCUCGCGUUGAUUACGUCCCUGCCCUUUGUACACACCGCCCGUCGCUACUACCGAUUGAACGAUUUAGUGAGGUCUUCGGACCGGUGGUCGUUCCGCGAUCGGGUCAGGGAAGGGUCUUGUGCCUUUUCCUCCCGCGCGGGGUCGGCCGGCCGGGAAGAUGCCCGAACUUGAUCGUUUAGAGGAAGA
RNAcentral lists this ribosomal RNA (2101 nucleotides) under Opisthopatus roseus (pink velvet worm). RNAcentral describes it as "SSU rRNA". It matches the Rfam family "Eukaryotic small subunit ribosomal RNA". Lineage: Eukaryota; Metazoa; Onychophora; Udeonychophora; Euonychophora; Peripatopsidae. The record is from RNAcentral.